Molecule: ribosomal RNA, 654 nt
Filed under: Acinetobacter sp.
Lineage: Bacteria; Pseudomonadati; Pseudomonadota; Gammaproteobacteria; Moraxellales; Moraxellaceae
Description: bacterial SSU rRNA
Rfam family: Bacterial small subunit ribosomal RNA
Source: RNAcentral
AAUAUUGGACAAUGGGCGAAAGCUUGAUCCAGCCAUGCCGCGUGUGUGAAGAAGGCCUUUUGGUUGUAAAGCACUUUAAGCGAGGAGGAGGCUACUGGGAUUAAUACUCUAGGAUAGUGGACGUUACUCGCAGAAUAAGCACCGGCUAACUCUGUGCCAGCAGCCGCGGUAAUACAGAGGGUGCGAGCGUUAAUCGGAUUUACUGGGCGUAAAGCGUGCGUAGGCGGCUUUUUAAGUCGGAUGUGAAAUCCCUGAGCUUAACUUAGGAAUUGCAUUCGAUACUGGGAAGCUAGAGUAUGGGAGAGGAUGGUAGAAUUCCAGGUGUAGCGGUGAAAUGCGUAGAGAUCUGGAGGAAUACCGAUGGCGAAGGCAGCCAUCUGGCCUAAUACUGACGCUGAGGUACGAAAGCAUGGGGAGCAAACAGGAUUAGAUACCCUGGUAGUCCAUGCCGUAAACGAUGUCUACUAGCCGUUGGGGCCUUUGAGGCUUUAGUGGCGCAGCUAACGCGAUAAGUAGACCGCCUGGGGAGUACGGUCGCAAGACUAAAACUCAAAUGAAUUGACGGGGGCCCGCACAAGCGGUGGAGCAUGUGGUUUAAUUCGAUGCAACGCGAAGAACCUUACCUGGUCUUGACAUAGUAAGAACUUCCAGAGA